ACCCCGAAACUAGGUGAGCUACUUCAAAACAGCCUUUAAGGGCCAACCCGUCUCUGUUGCAAAAGAGUGGGAAGAUUUUCAAGUAGAGGUGACAGACCUACCGAACCUAGAGAUAGCUGGUUAUUCAGGAAAAGGAUUUAAGUCCUACCUUAAGUUUUUUAUACCACAAAAUAUACCAAUAAACUUAAGAGCUAUUCAAAUAAGGUACAGCCUAUUUGAAACAGGAAACAACCUUAAACACAGGGUAAUGAUAUUCUAAACGUGACCAAGUGGGCCUAAAAGCAGCCAACUUUUAAACAGCGUUAAAGCUCCAUCACUUUACUUAACUAAUAACAUUAACAUUACAAAACCCUUCACCACUACUGAAUGACUCCAUAACCAUAUGGAGAACACUAUGCUAGAACUAGUAACAAGAAGAAGACCUCCUCCAAAAUGUAAGUGUAGGCCAAAAUGAACAACUCACUGGCACUUAUCGUCUCUGAACUUAAAGUAGUAACUUCACAAGAAAAUUCUACUCCCCACAAACGUUAACCUUACACCAGAACAUUACCGGAAAGAUUAAAAAAAGAGGAAGGAACUCGGCAAAUUUUAACCCCGCCUGUUUACCAAAAACAUCGCCUCCUGAAAUAACUAUAGGAGGUCCAGCCUGCCCAGUGACAAAGUUAAACGGCCGCGGUACCCUAACCGUGCGAAGGUAGCGCAAUCACUUGUUCUUUAAAUGAGGACUAGUAUGAAUGGCAUCACGAGGGUUAUACUGUCUCCCUCUUUUAAUCAGUGAAACUGAUCUUCCCGUGAAGAAGCGGGAAUACAUCUAUAAGACGAGAAGACCCCAUGGAGCUUUAAACUCAGUAUCAACUGCCCUCCCAAUAUAUCCACCUAAUUAAGCAGACAUGACUACUAGUUUUCGGUUGGGGUGACCGCGGAGCAAAACAAAACCUCCACGAUGAAAGGAAUUAAC
This 958-nucleotide ribosomal RNA is filed under the name Scaphiophryne madagascariensis. RNAcentral describes it as "partial large subunit ribosomal RNA". It matches the Rfam family "Bacterial large subunit ribosomal RNA", at positions 712 to 2323 of the family's 2925-position model. The record is from RNAcentral. Lineage: Eukaryota; Metazoa; Chordata; Amphibia; Anura; Microhylidae.